Molecule: long non-coding RNA, 412 nt
Organism: Patella vulgata (common limpet)
Lineage: Eukaryota; Metazoa; Mollusca; Gastropoda; Patellidae
Exons: 3
Source: RefSeq, a predicted model, not a curated record
UGGAAUGGAAAUCUGAAACCAGGACUGGGCUCAAAGGUGACUAUUUCCAACGCUGCAGUAUUACUAGAUGAAACUCCUCCAGAACUGGAAAGCAUUACGAUCGAACCCAAUGGAAGACUUGUAUGGGGCACAGAUGGUGACUAUAGCCUGACGCUCAAAUACAUUCUUAUUCAUGGACGAAUGGAUAUUGGUUCUGAAGACUGCAUAUUUAAUAGAAAGGCGCACAUAACAUUAGUAGGGAUUCGAGGACAGUAUCGGAUAAUUGUUGGCGGUAUUCACGAGUUUGACGAGAAGUUUAUUGGCGUGGCUCCGGGAGGAACCCUUGAAAUACACGCAGAGAGAAAGUUAUCGUGGACAAAACUUACAAAAACUGUCCCGAAAAUAACCUCUGCAAAUGGACUUAUUUAUAGGC